Molecule: unclassified non-coding RNA, 2029 nt
Filed under: Manduca sexta (tobacco hornworm)
Lineage: Eukaryota; Metazoa; Arthropoda; Insecta; Lepidoptera; Sphingidae
Description: e3 ubiquitin-protein ligase MGRN1, transcript variant X1
Source: RNAcentral
CGUAUUCCGAAGUCCAAAAUGUCAAAUGAAACAAAACAUCUCGUCGUAUGAUUAAUUAAACACUCAUAUGUAAUUUUAUUUAAGUGAAUUUGGCUGUUUAAUCCACAAAAAUGGGUGCUUUAACUAGCAGACAACACGCUGGCGUGGAGGAGGCCGAUGUUACAUCGAAUCACGCGUAUAAAUAUCCCCCUAGAUCGGGUAAUUAUUUUGGAAGCCACUUCAUCAUGGGUGGUGAAAGGUUUGACACACCACAGCCUGAGGCUUACCUGUUUGGGGAGAAUGCUGAUCUAAACUUCUUGGGAAGCAGACCCACUCCAUUCCCAUACCCACCACCACAAUCAAAUGAGCCAACGAAAACACUAAAGAGUCUUGUGAACAUCCGCAAAGAGUCCCUACGAUUUGUGCGUUGUCCGGAACCAGUGGGCAAGCUGGCAGAGAACAAGAUCAGUGAUGGAGGCAUCAUCAAGACCUUGGACAGCAAUGGGAAAGGAACAUAUUACAAUAUAGAGUUCACGUUUGACUGUGACGCCAGAUGUGCGAUCACUAUAUUCUAUUUUUGCACUGAGGAAGUUACACCGACUGGUGUUGUUUACUACCCUCGCGACGCGGCAAUGACGUCACAAACGUACCACUAUAAGAAAGGUGCCAACCAGCAGUUCUGUCAAAUUGCGCAUGUGUUCGACCCGUCCAAGUACCCUGAGGAAGACUUGUUAUACAAUGCUGAUAGAGAGAUCAUACCGAUAGCGAUAUACUGCGUGGUUGACGAGGGACAAGAAGCUGAGAUAAGACAGUCGCACACCACAAUAGCAGUGGUUGAGAAGCACUCUGACGGUACAUAUGUCCUGAAGGCGUUGAAACAGAAGCUGUUCGUGGACGGACUCUGCUACCUGCUGCAGGAGAUAUACGGCAUCGAGAACAAGAACCUGGACACCAAGCCGAGUUCCGACGAGGAGACAGAGGAUGGAGGUUCAGAGUGUGUGAUCUGUAUGUGCGACAUGCGAGACACUCUGAUCCUGCCGUGCCGACAUCUCUGCCUGUGCAACUCCUGCGCAGACUCGUUGCGCUACCAAGCCAAUAACUGUCCCAUUUGCAGGGCCCCGUUCCGCGCGCUACUCCAGAUCCGAGCUCUCCAACGCCUGCCGGGCACUGACGCCUCGGCUGUCUCCGAGACCGGGGUGGACGGCGUGCCGCCGGGGUACGAGCCGGUGUCGCUCAUCGAGGCGCUGAACGGACCCCACGGACCCAGGGCGCUGGCCCCACCGGCGAGACCUGCACCGACUAUCGCCAGUCCUGAUACUGAUACCGCAUCGCAGGCUGCUGAAAUCCUGAACCGUUGUAACUUGGAGCGCAGUUCCUCUACCAGCCUCGGCAGCAGUAGCAGCAGGAAGCUCAAGAGCGGCUCCAAGGACGACGUCAAGAGCAUACGUGAUAGAUCCGCAACACAGACCAUCACGCCUGAGUUCCGCAUGUCAGUGCUGCUGGCCCGCGAGGAGGAAGCCAAUAAGCGCGCCGAAGAGAAGACAGCGGCGAACAGUCCCCUGCUCUACAACCACAAGCCGCUCAACUGUAAUGAAAAGAUUUCAAAGUCGUCUAUAAGCCUGGAGUACCCCGGCGUGUCGGUGUGCGCGGAGGCGGCGUGCUCGGAGGACGAGGCGCGGCGCGUGGACGACAGCGACGCCGAGAGACUCUCGCCUCUGCUCGCGCAGCUGCCCGUCGCGCCUGUCGGGGUGUUGACGCGCGGCUCGUCGGUGUCGUCCCUGUGCGCGCCGGCGGGGACUGCGGUGUCGCCGGCGAGCGCGGCGCUGCGCCUCUCCGCGCCGGCGCUCGCGCACAUCGACGACGCGCCCGACACCGACGCCGAUGCCGACGCUGCGGCUAUGUGAGCCGACCGGUAACGGCGAGUGCACCCCGCAGCGCUGGGCCCUGCCGCAUCACGUCACUUCCUUGCCUGGCACGCCGCUAAGCCAAUCGAGCGUGCGGUCAUCAGGCGACUCGUACAGCUCGACGUCGUCCACGCGCCAGCUGCUAG